Molecule: long non-coding RNA, 659 nt
Filed under: Callithrix jacchus (white-tufted-ear marmoset)
Lineage: Eukaryota; Metazoa; Chordata; Mammalia; Primates; Cebidae
Description: lncRNA (ENSCJAG00000078477.1)
Source: RNAcentral
AGGAUGUGAUCAGCCGUUUUGGGGGCAUGUGUGCAAGAUGAAGGGAUAAAAGCUGAAAGAAAUCAAGGUUCUUUAUGAAGGAGAAAAAAAAUGAUGUCUGUAACAAAUUGGAAAUGUCAUACAUGGAAUCUUUUCCUGAAUUUCCUCCCAAAUUCACAUGUUGAAGCCUGACCUCCAAUGUGACUAUAUUUUGAAAUAGGGCCUAUGGGGAUGUAAUAAGGGUGAAGGGAGGUCAUGAAGGUAAGAUCUUAAUCCAAUAGGACUGUGUCUUUAUAAGAAAAGAAAGAGAAUCUAAGCUUUUUCUUUCUCCAUGUUUACAGAGAAGAGGCCAUGUAAGGACAUAGUGAGAAAGCAGCUGUCUGCAAGCCACAAAGAGAGGCCUCACCAGAAACCAACCCUGCAGGCACCUUGAUCUUGGACUUCCAGCCUCCAGACUAAUGCCGUAUUGUUGGGCCCACUAUGUCCUUAUUUUAUCUGCUGAGGCGACUAUCACAAUGAGUUCAGGGACUACAGCGGUGCUGCCAUUUAUCUUGGGUUGUAGAGUUGGAUCAUCACGGCGAGUCUUUGGAGGCUUGGGCUGUUCUCCAAUAUGCCCUGUAGCUGCCCAGCUGAAUUGGCCAUGGUCAUUCUGCUACAUGCAAAGUACUUUAAUUUUUUAA